UAGGGAAUCUUCGGCAAUGGACGAAAGUCUGACCGAGCAACGCCGCGUGAGUGAAGAAGGCUUUAGGAUCGUAAAACUCUGUUGUUAGAGAAGAACAAGGACGCUAGUACCUGAACGUCCCCUGCCGGUAUCUAACCAGAAAGCCACGGCUAACUACGUGCCAGCAGGCGCGGUAAUACGUAGGUGGCAAGCGAUGUCUGGAUUUAUUGGGCGUAAAGCGAGCGCAGGCGGUUUCUUAAGUCUGAUGUGAAAGCCCCCGGCUCAAUCGAAGAGGGUCGUUAGAAACUGGAAGGCUUGAGUGCAGAGGAGGAGGGUGGAAUUCCAUGUCUAGCAGUGAAAUGCGUAGAUAUAUGGAGGAACACCAGUGGCGAAGGCGGCUCUCUGGACUGUAACUGACGCUGAGGCUCGAAAGCGUGGGGAGCAAACAGG
RNAcentral lists this ribosomal RNA (429 nucleotides) under Gemmatimonadota bacterium. RNAcentral describes it as "Gemmatimonadetes bacterium partial 16S ribosomal RNA". It matches the Rfam family "Bacterial small subunit ribosomal RNA", at positions 355 to 776 of the family's 1533-position model. The record is from RNAcentral. Lineage: Bacteria; Pseudomonadati; Gemmatimonadota.